Arachis ipaensis is the source of this 100-nucleotide non-coding RNA. Lineage: Eukaryota; Viridiplantae; Streptophyta; Magnoliopsida; Fabales; Fabaceae. The record is from RefSeq and is a predicted model, not a curated record.
UGAAAUCUAUCAAGACUAUUGAAAGCUCCAAAAUGAUGGAAAGUGUGCCUGAAAUGUGGAUGAUACUAACUUAUUAUUUACAGUGAUCAGUAUGUUUUUG